This 757-nucleotide ribosomal RNA is filed under the name Stenotrophomonas sp. enrichment culture clone AD_Bacteria_14. RNAcentral describes it as "bacterial SSU rRNA". It matches the Rfam family "Bacterial small subunit ribosomal RNA", at positions 28 to 774 of the family's 1533-position model. The record is from RNAcentral. Lineage: Bacteria; Pseudomonadati; Pseudomonadota; Gammaproteobacteria; Lysobacterales; Lysobacteraceae.
AGUGAACGCUGGCGGUAGGCCUAACACAUGCAAGUCGAACGGCAGCACAGAGGAGCUUGCUCCUUGGGUGGCGAGUGGCGGACGGGUGAGGAAUACAUCGGAAUCUACUUUUUCGUGGGGGAUAACGUAGGGAAACUUACGCUAAUACCGCAUACGACCUACGGGUGAAGGCAGGGGAUCUUCGGACCUUGCGCGAUUGAAUGAGCCGAUGUCGGAUUAGCUAGUUGGCGGGGUAAAGGCCCACCAAGGCGACGAUCCGUAGCUGGUCUGAGAGGAUGAUCAGCCACACUGGAACUGAGACACGGUCCAGACUCCUACGGGAGGCAGCAGUGGGGAAUAUUGGACAAUGGGCGCAAGCCUGAUCCAGCCAUACCGCGUGGGUGAAGAAGGCCUUCGGGUUGUAAAGCCCUUUUGUUGGGAAAGAAAUCCAGCCGGCUAAUACCUGGUUGGGAUGACGGUACCCAAAGAAUAAGCACCGGCUAACUUCGUGCCAGCAGCCGCGGUAAUACGAAGGGUGCAAGCGUUACUCGGAAUUACUGGGCGUAAAGCGUGCGUAGGUGGUCGUUUAAGUCCGUUGUGAAAGCCCUGGGCUCAACCUGGGAACUGCAGUGGAUACUGGGCGACUAGAGUGUGGUAGAGGGUAGCGGAAUUCCUGGUGUAGCAGUGAAAUGCGUAGAGAUCAGGAGGAACAUCCAUGGCGAAGGCAGCUACCUGGACCAACACUGACACUGAGGCACGAAAGCGUGGGGAGCAAACA